GUAGAUCGCUAGGGGUGCCUGAGUUUACCCAAGCCCCGGACCCUGGGGCCGGGGCUCGACAUCAGGCUGAGAUCACACCCUGGGACCUGAUCCGGGUAAUGCCGGCGUGGGAAAGCGAAUCCGUUCCGAU
RNAcentral lists this non-coding RNA (130 nucleotides) under Planctomycetaceae bacterium SCGC AG-212-F19. RNAcentral's name for it is "TPP riboswitch aptamer (THI element)". It matches the Rfam family "TPP riboswitch aptamer (THI element)". From Rfam's summary of the family: Vitamin B(1) in its active form thiamin pyrophosphate (TPP) is an essential coenzyme that is synthesised by coupling of pyrimidine and thiazole moieties in bacteria. Lineage: Bacteria; Pseudomonadati; Planctomycetota; Planctomycetia; Planctomycetales; Planctomycetaceae. The record is from Rfam by way of RNAcentral. RNAcentral also lists the same sequence under 1 other name.